GUGGGGAAUAUUGGACAAUGGGCGAAAGCCUGAUCCAGCAAUGCCGCGUGGGUGAAGAAGGUCUUCGGAUCGUAAAGCCCUUUCGACGGGGACGAUGAUGACGGUACCCGUAGAAGAAGCCCCGGCUAACUUCGUGCCAGCAGCCGCGGUAAUACGAAGGGGGCUAGCGUUGCUCGGAAUUACUGGGCGUAAAGGGCGCGUAGGCGGCGGCCCAAGUCAGGCGUGAAAUUCCUGGGCUCAACCUGGGGACUGCGCUUGAUACUGGGUUGCUUGAGGAUGGAAGAGGCUCGUGGAAUUCCCAGUGUAGAGGUGAAAUUCGUAGAUAUUGGGAAGAACACCGGUGGCGAAGGCGGCGAGCUGGUCCAUUACUGACGCUGAGGCGCGACAGCGUGGGGAGCAAACAGG
Molecule: ribosomal RNA, 405 nt
Filed under: uncultured bacterium
Lineage: Bacteria
Description: bacterial SSU rRNA
Rfam family: Bacterial small subunit ribosomal RNA
Source: RNAcentral